GGGGUCUAAAGAAUGCUUUUUUGUUUACAACAUACCCAAGAAGAAUAUGGGGCCACUGUAAUGAGGGGCACAGCACUAUGUCCUCUCUGUAAGUAAAUCCCCUACAUGU
Molecule: small nucleolar RNA, 109 nt
Organism: Peromyscus maniculatus bairdii (prairie deer mouse)
Lineage: Eukaryota; Metazoa; Chordata; Mammalia; Rodentia; Cricetidae
Source: Ensembl